GGUGAACGCUGGCGGCGUGCCUAAUACAUGCAAGUCGAACGCUUCACUUCGGUGAAGAGUGGCGAACGGGUGAGUAAUACAUAAGUAACCUGGCAUCUACAGGGGGAUAACUGAUGGAAACGUCAGCUAAGACCGCAUAGGUGUAGAGAUCGCAUGAACUCUAUAUGAAAAGUGCUACAGGACUGGUAGAUGAUGGACUUAUGGCGCAUUAGCUGGUUGGUAGGGUAACGGCCUACCAAGGCGACGAUGCGUAGCCGACCUGAGAGGGUGACCGGCCACACUGGGACCGAGACACGGCCCAGACUCCUACGGGAGGCAGGAGUAGGGAAUUUUCGGCAAUGGGGGAAACCCUGACCGAGCAACGCCGCGUGAAGGAAGAAGUAAUUCGUUAUGUAAACUUCUGUCAUAGAGGAAGAACGGUGGAUAUAGGGAAUGAUAUCCAAGUGACGGUACUCUAUAAGAAAGCCACGGCUAACUACGUGCCAGCAGCCGCUGUAA
This 498-nucleotide ribosomal RNA is filed under the name uncultured bacterium. RNAcentral's name for it is "partial 16S ribosomal RNA". It matches the Rfam family "Bacterial small subunit ribosomal RNA", at positions 28 to 523 of the family's 1533-position model. The record is from RNAcentral.